CUCAAUCUUUGACCAUAAUUUACCAUUAACAUUUCAGCCGCUAGCUUUAUCGCUCAUAAUUUGGCUGUAAUGAUAGUAUGUUAUUGGCCGCAAGCUUCAUCACUCACCUUUGGCCUUUGCUUAAUACUCAUAAAUUGGCCGCAACUCUUACGCUUGCUUAUUUAAAGGGAUGAAAUAAUCUCCUUCAUGUCAAGUUAGAGUUAAUCUCCUUGAUAAAAAGUUGAGAGUUACCCUUUGGCCCCA
Molecule: long non-coding RNA, 243 nt
Filed under: Theobroma cacao (cacao)
Lineage: Eukaryota; Viridiplantae; Streptophyta; Magnoliopsida; Malvales; Malvaceae
Description: long non-coding RNA (TCAC_LNC005516)
Source: RNAcentral